UUCUAGGUAGAAUUAUGAUAAUGACAUUGUCUGCCUAUGUGUCUUGACCAAAUUACGUGCCAGCAGUCGCGGUAAUACGUAGAAGACUAGUGUUAUUCAUGUUUAAUCGGUUUAAAGGGUACCUAGACGGUGAAUCAAGCUUUAGAAUAAAGAAGAAAAGGAACUAAUUCGCUAGAGUUACUUACGAGGGGGUAGUAAAGUACUGCUGGUGUAGAGAUGAAAUUCUGUCAUACCUCUUUUCGAAAGAAAAAUUAUGGCACAGGUAUAGGCGAAGGCAUCCCCUUAUGUGAUAACUGACGUUGAGGGACGAAGGCUUCGUGGAACAAACAGGAUUAGAUACCCUAGUAGUUGAAGCAGAAAAUGAUGAAUGUCAUAGAUUAGACGUCUAAGUUUAUUCUAUAAAUGAAAGUGUAAGCAUUCCACCUCCUGAGUAAUUUGGCAACAUUGGAAUUGAAAUCAUUAGACCGUUUCUGAAACCAGUAGUGAAGUAUGUUGUUUAAUUUGAUAAUACGCAAAAAACCUUACCACAAUUUGAAUAUUUAUAUUGUUUAUUGUUAUCUUAUUAAUUUUCUUAAAAAAACUAAUUAUAGCAAAAGCAUUUUAAAACAGGAAAAGAAAAUUAAUCAAGAGGCAAUAACAUAUAUCUACAAGCGUUGCACGGCUGUCUUCAGUUAAUGUCGCGAGACUUUGGUUAGUUCCCUUCAA
RNAcentral lists this ribosomal RNA (705 nucleotides) under Parmotrema pseudotinctorum. RNAcentral describes it as "SSU rRNA". It matches the Rfam family "Bacterial small subunit ribosomal RNA", at positions 453 to 1092 of the family's 1533-position model. Lineage: Eukaryota; Fungi; Ascomycota; Lecanoromycetes; Lecanorales; Parmeliaceae. The record is from RNAcentral.